Molecule: ribosomal RNA, 433 nt
Filed under: uncultured bacterium
Lineage: Bacteria
Description: partial 16S ribosomal RNA
Rfam family: Bacterial small subunit ribosomal RNA
Source: RNAcentral
AACGAACGCUGGCGGCAUGCCUAACACAUGCAAGUCGAACGAGACCUUCGGGUCUAGUGGCGCACGGGUGCGUAACGCGUGGGAACCUGCCCUUAGGUUCGGAAUAACUCCCCGAAAGGGGUGCUAAUACCGGAUAAUGUCUUCGGACCAAAGAUUUAUCGCCUUUGGAUGGGCCCGCGUUGGAUUAGCUAGUUGGUAGGGUAAAAGCCUACCAAGGCGACGAUCCAUAGCUGGUCUGAGAGGAUGAUCUGCCACACUGGGACUGAGACACGGCCCAGACUCCUACGGGAGGCAGCAGUGGGGAAUAUUGGACAAUGGGCGAAAGCCUGAUCCAGCAAUGCCGCGUGAGUGAUGAAGGCCUUAGGGUUGUAAAGCUCUUUUACCCGGGAUGAUAAUGACAGUACCGGGAGAAUAAGCUCCGGCUAACUCCGUG